GGAUAUCCGAAUAAUUUGUCUAUUCGGAUAAAAUAAAUGGUAACGGAUAUUAUCCGUAUUCGAAUAUUUUUCCGAAUACCGGAUACGGAUAAUAUUUUUAAAAUUCGCCGGAUACCGGAUACGGAUACGGAUAGCGAAUUAGUUUUUCGGAUACGGAUACGGAUAUACCUGUAUCCGUAUCCGUUUAAUACCGUUUACACCCCUACUUCUAAUGUUCCUAGGAGUGACCAACUAGGUGAUUAUGAGCUUUGAAAGAAAACUUUUUCCCUGUGUGAAAAUUGUGAAACUUAUGAUUAAGGCGUGGACUAGGGGAUUUAUUUCGGACAAGAGAAUCCAACUACAAAAAAAGUGGCCAAUUUUUUUGACUUUAAAUCUUCUAAAACAACAUGAUGACAAUUUGAGUUUUGCUUAAAGGGUUGGACUCCCUUUAUUGAAUUUGCACCUUGCCUUACCUUUUGAUGAAUGGAGGUGCUAGAUACACCUAUUGUGAUGCAAGAAAGUUACAAGUUCAAAUGCUAUUUCUGUUAAUAAUUUUUGUUGGUAUUUUCUCCCGUAAUAAAGGUUAGUCAACUUUUCUCCAGUAAUAAAGAUAUCCCUUCAGACUCUCAAUAAUCUAAUCUGCUGUAUCAUUAUAUGCAUAUACCCUAUGCAUGAAUUUUGGGCGAAUUUCAAAUGUCAUCAUCCGGCGUUUAUCUACUUUUUUGGAAGCUCUAAAUCAUUUGUUGUCUAAUGAACUUGUCAUUCGGAUCCGGUUAGCAUGAAGUUAAUUUUUGAGUAAGUUGGUCAAUUGGCCAAUAAAAUGAUGACACGCAUACGAGAUUAUAUGCAUGUCAGUAUUAUAUUGGUCAAUUGAUCAACUUAUCCAUAAAUAAAUUUCAUACUAACCUUUGUCAUUCUAACCUCGUAACUUUAGUUUUUUUACUUUUAAUAUUAGUUGUUCCUCAAAUGGAUAUUUUUCAGUUUUUAUUCCUCACCUUCAAACGCUAAUGAUUUUGUUCUCCACUAAGAGCCAAGAAAAGAAAUGUUAUAAUGUUGAUGGACAAAAAGCCCAUUUCAUGACUCAAAGGUCAAACAAAAGUAGUGCCCAUUUGUUUUGCUUUUGUUUCAACUGUUUAGAUGAGCCGGGUCAGGUCCUUUUGCCAUUAAGGUGGGCCAAACAUAGCCCUAUACUAUCUUAAUUCUAGAAUGUUCAAUUCUUCCAUCAUUCUCUAACGGGCCCCAUUCCCUUUUUUAUCGGCCCUAUUUUUGUUUUGAUUUUGAUAUUUCUUUUCCAUUUCAGAAUGAGUGUGUUUUGUAUUUGGAUAAAUUUGUUUUGCGAAACAUAUCAAUAUAUGAUAUAUGAUAUUGAAUAUCAAUAUGAAAGUAAUUGUUUUUCUUGUUUUUUUUUUCUUUUCAAAUAAUUGAUUCUCGUUGUUUAUUUGUAUCAAUUGUUUUUUGCAUAUUCUAUGUCUUUAUAGUUUUUAAUUGGGAUAUGGGUUGGAGUUUCAAUUCAAAUACAUGUAAAUAAAGUAAUUAAAGUGGGUAGGGGGACUUGGAAUGGGUGAAUAGAGAUAGCAAUGAUUGUCUGAAUUGGUAAGUGUUGCUAUUUACUUUUAUUAUUAUGAUAUUUGAUGAAUAAUGUUGGCUAGCCAGCUAUGUGUCAAGUUCGUUAAGUGUUAAGCUGUAUGGAUGGGUGAUCAAAAGAAAGAAAUGUUUG
This 1696-nucleotide long non-coding RNA is filed under the name Panax ginseng (ginseng). RNAcentral's name for it is "long non-coding RNA (PGIN_LNC006730)". The stretch from base 758 to 879 matches the Rfam family "MIR6135 microRNA precursor family". Lineage: Eukaryota; Viridiplantae; Streptophyta; Magnoliopsida; Apiales; Araliaceae. The record is from RNAcentral.